This 29-nucleotide non-coding RNA is filed under the name Homo sapiens (human). Lineage: Eukaryota; Metazoa; Chordata; Mammalia; Primates; Hominidae. The record is from RNAcentral.
UGAAUGGGAUCACAACAUAGGUACAGGGC